AGUGAACGCUGGCGGUAGGCCUAACACAUGCAAGUCGAACGGCAGCACAGAGGAGCUUGCUCCUUGGGUGGCGAGUGGCGGACGGGUGAGGAAUACAUCGGAAUCUACUCUGUCGUGGGGGAUAACGUAGGGAAACUUACGCUAAUACCGCAUCCGACCUACGGGUGAAAGCAGGGGAUCUUCGGACCUUGCGCGAUUGAAUGAGCCGAUGUCGGAUUAGCUAGUUGGCGGGGUAAAGGCCCACCAAGGCGACGAUCCGUAGAUGGUCUGAGAGGAUGAUCAGCCACACUGGAACUGAGACACGGUCCAGACUCCUACGGGAGGCAGCAGUGGGGAAUAUUGGACAAUGGGCGCAAGCCUGAUCCAGCCAUACCGCGUGGGUGAAGAAGGCCUUCGGGUUGUAAAGCCCUUUUGUUGGGAAAGAAGUCCAGCUGGCUAAUACCCGGUUGGGAUGACGGUACCCAAAGAAUAAGCACCGGCUAACUUCGUGCCAGCCGCCGCAGUAA
RNAcentral lists this ribosomal RNA (506 nucleotides) under uncultured bacterium. RNAcentral's name for it is "partial 16S ribosomal RNA". It matches the Rfam family "Bacterial small subunit ribosomal RNA", at positions 29 to 523 of the family's 1533-position model. The record is from RNAcentral.